RNAcentral lists this ribosomal RNA (254 nucleotides) under uncultured bacterium. RNAcentral's name for it is "partial 16S ribosomal RNA". It matches the Rfam family "Bacterial small subunit ribosomal RNA", at positions 524 to 776 of the family's 1533-position model. The record is from RNAcentral.
UACAGAGGUCUCAAGCGUUUGUUCGGAUUUAUUGGGCGUAAAGGGUGCGCAGGCUGUAUGGUAAGUUUGGUGUGAAAUCCUGGAGCUUAACUCCAGAAUUGCACUGAAUACUGCCGUGCUAGAGGACUGGAGAGGAGAUUGGAAUUCACGGUGUAGCAGUGAAAUGCGUAGAUAUCGUGAGGAAGACCAGUGGCGAAGGCGAAUCUCUGGACAGUUCCUGACGCUCAUGCACGAAGGCCAGGGGAGCAAACGGG